RNAcentral lists this long non-coding RNA (1900 nucleotides) under Homo sapiens (human). RNAcentral describes it as "HSALNT0366413". Lineage: Eukaryota; Metazoa; Chordata; Mammalia; Primates; Hominidae. The record is from RNAcentral.
CAGGAAAGGGCCCUGACAAGAGGAUGGGACUGCAGUUGUGGCUGCCAGGAACAGGGCCCCGGCCAGGGUGAAAACAAGGAACAUUCCAGAGAAGAUCACAAGGAUGCGAAUAAAAUCGGAGCUGCACAGGGAUCUUUGGGCUGUAAUAGGAGGGGACACACAGGGGUUAGGGGAGGGUCUAGCCCUUGGCUCCCUCAGCCCAGCCCUCCUGUCACCUUGCCUCUCCCCUUUCCCCCACCUUAUUCUAUCCCACCCGCCACCGUUGGCCAACUCCUCUCCUAAACAGUGGACUCUGCUUUUUCCCCUCCUCUUAUCCCUAAUCCUAGGAGCUUUCUGUCUGGCUUCCCUCCUGGCCCCUCGUGUAUGCAUUCUCUCUAGCGGUGGGGAUUAAGGAGAAAACUCACGUGGCCAGUGGGUAGAGAGAGUCCGGGCAGGCAGCUGCCUGAAGUCAGCCAGAGUCUGCAUGUGCCCAGCUGUCCUGGCCUCCAGCAUCUCUGGAAAAACAGAGACAGAAUGAGUAGCAGCAGGGGACCCCAUAGGGCACAUCUGAAGGCCUGAGAGGUGCUGGAUGGGAUGGGAAGGCAGAAACAGGCUGACCUUAUCUAGGGGUAGGAGUGGGGAGUACUGGUUGGGGUAUCACCGCUACCCCACGUGAUGGCACAGAGAGUUGCCUGGAACUUACCACUGACAUAAGAGUCUUGCUUUGUCGCCCAGGUUGGAGUGCAGUGGCACGAUCUCGGCUCAGUGCAACCUCCGCCUCCUGAGUUCAAGUGAUUCUCCUGCCUCAGCCUCCCUAGUAGCUGGGAUUACAGGACAAGGAGAGGGACAAAUUCCUUCUUGGCAUCCUUAUGGCCCUGUGACCUGCUAAUGAAUGCUGACUCUGAGUUGCUACUAGAAUUUGGUUUCCUUGUGGCUUCCCAGGAAUUGGUCUCACUCUGCUCACUCUGUCUCCCAAGCUGGAGUGCAGUGGUACAGUCACGGCUCACUGCAGCCUCCACUUCCUGGACUCAAGUGAUCUUCUCACUUCAGCCUUCUGAGUAGCUGGGACUACAGCCCCCUCUGCAGCUCUUCAUGGGGGUCCACUCAAGUCAGAAGCCACAUUUGGGUGUGAUUCAGAGAGCUGUUUAUGCAAAACCAGCUUUGUCACCAUCAGGCAAGGCACCUGAAUUCCCACCGCAGAGAGUGUUGUGGCCGUGAGGACUUUUCUGUCACCAGCCAUUUCCAGGUAGACCCAGUGUAAUCACAAGCAUCCUUGUAAGUGGCAAAGAGGCAGAGGAGACAGCGCCAGAGAGGCAGCUGCAUGAGAAGGAUCAAGAUGUUGCUGACUUUGAAGUUGGAAGAAGAAGGCCAUGAGCCUCAGUAUGUGGGCGGCUUCUAGAAGCUGGAAGGGGCAAGGAGAUGGAUUUGACCCUUCAGCCUCCAGGGGCAGCUGUACCUGCCAUCACUGAUUGUAGCCUGGUGAGGCCUGUUUUAGACUUCUGACCUGUAGAGCUGUAACAUAAUACAUUUGGGUUGUUUUCAACCACUAAGUUUGUGGUAAUUUGUUGUAGCAGCUGUAGAAAAUGAAUACAUAUGAAUCCUCUGGCAUUUGUUUGAGAUUUGCUCUAUGGCCUAGUAUGUGGUUGUAAAUGUUCCAUCUGUGCCUGAAAAAAUGUAUAUUUCUAAUUCAGUAGUCUCUGCUUUUUUUUUUUAUUUUGUACCCCAUCAAUAAAAUGAUUUUCAGCAUGUAUCCCCAAAUAAACAAUAUUUUAUUUAUUGAUUGAUUGAUAAACAGACAUGUUUAAUGAUAGCUUGCUUUUCACAGAGGUGACUUCGGAGACUUCUAAUCUAUAAUCCAGGAGUAUAUAACCAUGCAGCACAGACCAAUUAGUCACAUGUAAAAUAAACUAGAUUCUUACCA